CGCACCCCUACAUCUGGUGCCCAACGUGGAGGCUUUUCUCUAGGGUGAAGGUACGCUUGAGCGUGGUCAUUGAGGACAAGUCGACGAGAGAUCCCGAGUACGUCUACAGUCAGCCUUACGUCUGCAGGUGUACCCAACAGCUCCGAAGAGACAGCGACCAUCGAGAACGGGCCAUGAUGACGAUGGCGGUUUUGUCGAAAAGGGGGAAAUGUGGGGAAAAGCAAGAGAGAUCAGAUUGUCACUGUGUCUGUGUAGAAAGAAAUAGACAUGGGAGACUCCAUUUUGUUAUGUACUAAGAAAAAUUCUUCUGCCUUGAGAUUCUGUGACCUUACCCCCAACCCUGUGCUCUCUGAAACAUGUGCUGUGUCAAACUCAGGGUUAAAUGGAUUAAGGGCGGUGCGAGAUGUGCUUUGUUAAACAGAUGCUUGAAGGCAGCAUGCUCCUUAAGAGUCAUCACCACUCCCUAAUCUCAAGUACCCAGGGACACAAAAACUGCGGAAGGCUGCAGGGACCUCUGCCUAGGAAAGCCAGGUAUUGUCCAAGGUUUCUCCCCAUGUGAUAGUCUGAAAUAUGGCCUCGUGGGAAGGGAAAGACCUGACCGUCCCCCAGCCUGACACCCGUAAAGGGUCUGUGCUGAGGAGGAUUAGUAUAAGAGGAAGGCAUGCCUCUUGCAGUUGAGACAAGAGGAAGGCAUCUGUCUCCUGCACGUCCCUGGGCAAUGGAAUGUCUCGGUAUAAAACCCGAUUGUAUGUUCAUUCCAUCUACUGAGAUAGGGAAAAACCGCCUUAGGGCUGGAGGUGGGACAUGCGGGCAGCAAUACUGCUUUGUAAAGCAUUGAGAUGUUUAUGUGUAUGCAUAUCUAAAAGCACAGCACUUAAUCCUUUACCUUGUCUAUGAUACAAAGACCUUUGUUCAUGUGUUUGUCUGCUGACCCUCUCCCCACUAUUGUCUUGUGACCCUGACACAUCCCCCUCUCGGAGAAACACCCACGAAUGAUCAAUAAAUACUAAGGGAACUCAGAGGCUGGCGGGAUCCUCCAUAUGCUGAACGCUGGUUCCCCGGGUCCCCUUAUUUCUUUCUCUA
Molecule: long non-coding RNA, 1083 nt
Organism: Pan troglodytes (chimpanzee)
Lineage: Eukaryota; Metazoa; Chordata; Mammalia; Primates; Hominidae
Exons: 2
Source: RefSeq, a predicted model, not a curated record